This 382-nucleotide ribosomal RNA is filed under the name uncultured eukaryote. Its description in RNAcentral is "partial 18S ribosomal RNA". It matches the Rfam family "Eukaryotic small subunit ribosomal RNA", at positions 592 to 976 of the family's 1831-position model. The record is from RNAcentral.
UGUAAGCGUAUACCAAAGUUGUUGCAGUUAAAGCGCUCGUAGUCGGAAUUUGGCAGUUCCGGAUGUGUGCACGUCGUGUGCGCACUUCGCGGGGAUUGCUUUUGUGGUCUUGCGUAGGAUGAGGCACUUUUAUUAGUGAACGUCCUCACGCAACCACUUUUUACUGUGAGAAAAUCAGAGUGCUCAAAGCAGGCAUUUGCCGUGAAUGUAUUAGCAUGGAAUAAUAGAAUAGGACUUGGUUCUAUUUUGUUGGUUUGUUGGGACUGAGUAAUGAUUAAGAGGGACAGUUGGGGGCACUUGUAUUUCGGUGCUAGAGGUGAAAUUCUUAGAUUACCGAAAGACAAACUGCUGCGAAAGCGUCUGCCAAGGAUGUUUUCAUUGA